GGGUAUAUAGCUCAAGUGGUAGAGAGCAUGCUUAGCAUGCAUGAAGUCCUCCUGGGUUCAAUCCCCAGUACCUCCU
This 76-nucleotide transfer RNA is filed under the name Camelus bactrianus (Bactrian camel). It matches the Rfam family "tRNA". From Rfam's summary of the family: Transfer RNA (tRNA) molecules are approximately 80 nucleotides in length. The record is from Rfam by way of RNAcentral. RNAcentral also lists the same sequence under 2 other names. Lineage: Eukaryota; Metazoa; Chordata; Mammalia; Artiodactyla; Camelidae.